Molecule: ribosomal RNA, 524 nt
Filed under: Penicillium citrinum
Lineage: Eukaryota; Fungi; Ascomycota; Eurotiomycetes; Eurotiales; Aspergillaceae
Description: eukaryotic LSU rRNA
Rfam family: 5.8S ribosomal RNA (bases 143-296)
Source: RNAcentral
GUAUACGUUCGCUGAGGCCCUCGGGGCACCUCCCACCCGUGUUGCCCGAACCUAUGUUGCCUCGGCGGGCCCCGCGCCCGCCGACGGCCCCCCUGAACGCUGUCUGAAGUUGCAGUCUGAGACCUAUAACGAAAUUAGUUAAAACUUUCAACAACGGAUCUCUUGGUUCCGGCAUCGAUGAAGAACGCAGCGAAAUGCGAUAACUAAUGUGAAUUGCAGAAUUCAGUGAAUCAUCGAGUCUUUGAACGCACAUUGCGCCCUCUGGUAUUCCGGAGGGCAUGCCUGUCCGAGCGUCAUUGCUGCCCUCAAGCCCGGCUUGUGUGUUGGGCCCCGUCCCCCCCGCCGGGGGGACGGGCCCGAAAGGCAGCGGCGGCACCGCGUCCGGUCCUCGAGCGUAUGGGGCUUCGUCACCCGCUCUAGUAGGCCCGGCCGGCGCCAGCCGACCCCCAACCUUUAAUUAUCUCAGGUUGACCUCGGAUCAGGUAGGGAUACCCGCUGAACUUAAGCAUAUCAAUAAAAGGAGG